Molecule: transfer RNA, 63 nt
Filed under: Sarcophaga bullata (grey fleshfly)
Lineage: Eukaryota; Metazoa; Arthropoda; Insecta; Diptera; Sarcophagidae
Also listed under: 20 other names
Description: tRNA-Cys
Source: RNAcentral
GGCUUUAUAGUCAAUAAUGACAUUAGACUGCAAUUCUAAAGGAGUAAAUAUUUACUAAGGCUU